Molecule: unclassified non-coding RNA, 385 nt
Filed under: Litsea erectinervia
Lineage: Eukaryota; Viridiplantae; Streptophyta; Magnoliopsida; Laurales; Lauraceae
Description: partial miscellaneous RNA
Source: RNAcentral
UACUGGCAGGAUCAACCAGGCAACAGUGAAGAACAAGUAUCCUCUUCCUCAGAUCGAUGAGCUCUUCGACCAGCUUCAGGGGGCCCAGUUUUUCUCGAGGGUGGACUUGAGAUCAGGAUAUCAUCAGCUUCGAGUCAGAGAGCAGGAUGUGCAGAAGACGGCGUUUCGUACCCGUUAUGGGCACUAUGAGUUCCUCGUGAUGCCAUUCGGGUUGACGAAUGUGCCAGCUUGAUGAACAAGAUCUUCGCUCCGUACCUCGACAGCUUUACAGUGAUCUUCAUCGACGAUGUAUUGAUUUAUUCCAAGUCCAAGGAGGAGCAUGAGCAGCAUUUGAGGACAUCCUUGCAGUUGUUGCGCGACAACCAGGUAUAUGCAAAGCUCAGCA